RNAcentral lists this ribosomal RNA (492 nucleotides) under uncultured bacterium. RNAcentral's name for it is "partial 16S ribosomal RNA". It matches the Rfam family "Bacterial small subunit ribosomal RNA", at positions 29 to 507 of the family's 1533-position model. The record is from RNAcentral.
AGUGAACGCUGGCGGUAGGCCUAACACAUGCAAGUCGAACGGCAGCACAGUAAGAGCUUGCUCUUACGGGUGGCGAGUGUCGGACGGGUGAGGAAUACAUCGGAAUCUACUUUUUCGUGGGGUAUAACGUAGGGAAACUUACGCUAAUACCGCAUACGACCUACGGGUGAAAGCAGGGGAUCUUCGUACCUUGCGCGAUUGAAUGAGCCGAUGUCGGAUUAGCUAGUUGGCGGGGUAAAGGCCCACCAAGGCGACGAUCCGUAGCUGGUCUGAGAGGAUGAUCAGCCACACUGGAACUGAGACAGGGUCCAGACUCCUACGGGAGGCAGCAGUGGGGAAUAUUGGACAAUGGGGGAAAGCCUGAUCCAGCCAUACCGCGUGGGUGAAGAAGGACUUAGGGUUGGAAAGCCCUUUUGUUGGGAAAGAAAAGCAGCAGGUUAAUAACCCGCUGUUCUGACGGUACCAAAAGAAUAAGCACCGGCUAACUUCGUG